AAAAGCAAAUGCCCUCUGGUUCCCAGCCUGUCUCCACCCACCCCGCACUGAAGUCCUAGGAGAGGGCCAGUAAGUCUAUCUUAUGUCCUGGCCUGGACUCCAUUUCCCAGAGUCACCCGGUGCUCUAACGUUUCCUGCUCUGAACGCCUGUGCGUGUGCAUGUGGGAGAACGUGCGCAUGCGCGUGCCUUUCCCUGUGGUUCCGGGUUGGGAACAGAAGUUCAUUUACUGAUCAGAGAGGACCCUGAGAGGCCGCGCUGCUCCUUCUCCCACAUUCACUGGGGAGUCUUGCUCUGCAAGUGCAAUUGCAGGCAUUUGGGGAGCACACACCCCAGUCCUGCCGCCAACUGCUUCUGUGCCUCUGCAUCUGGCACCGUGGGCCCCAAGUUCCAGCGACUUCUCCUGUCCCACACUCUCCGCUUUGCUCCCCGUGUGUCCUGAAGAAAGGGGACGUGCUCCCGAGAUUUUCCACGGCAAGUGAUGAUAGCAUUUGAAGACCUGGCUGUGUACUUUACCUGGGAGGAAUGGCAGAACAUGAACAAUGCUCAGAAAAUCCUGUACAGAGAUGUGAUGCUGGAGACCUACAGCAGCCUGUUCUCGUUGGGGCACUGCAUUACCAAACCUGACUUAAUCUUCAAGUUGGAGCAAGGAGAAGAGCCAUGGAUGGUGGAAGAAUGCCUGAAUCAGAGUCUUUCAGGCAGAGUGGACAGUGAGAGAGACAUAGAGAAAGGUCUUCCUUUUGCUGUUGGUUCACCCUCCAAUGGCUACCAUGGGCAGUAUGCUGUGGCUGGCACACCGUGCUGAUCUGAAGCCAGGAGCCAGGUGCUUCUCCUGGUCUCACAGGUGGGCACAGGGCCCAAGGACCUGGGCCAUCCUACACUGCAGUCCUGGCCCAGAGCAGAGAGCUGGCCUGGAAGAGGGGCAACCAGGACAAAAUCCAGCAACACAACCAGGACUAGAACCUGGUGUGCCAGUGCCGCAGGCAGAGGAUUAGCCUAUUGAGCCACCGCACCAGCCUGUUUCUUUUUUUUUUAAAGAUUUAUUUAUUUGAAAGUCAGAGAGAGAGAAGAAGGAGAGGCAGAGAGAGAAAGAGAGGUCUUCCAUCCACUGGUUCACUUCCCAAUUGGCUGUCAUGGCUGGAGCUAUACUGAUCUGAAGCUAGGAGCCAGGAGCUUCUUCCAGGUCUCCCACAUGGGUACAGGGGUCCAAGGACUUGGGCCAUCUUCUACUGCUUUGCCAGGCCAUAGCAGAGUGCUGGAUCAGAAGUGGAUCAGCUAGGACUUAAAUUGGUGCCCAUAAGUGGUGUUGGCACUGCAGAUGGUGGCUUUACCUGCUAUGCCACAAUGCCAGGCCCCAGAAUCUUAUUUCUAACUCAUUGCUCAGAUUGAGUUCCCACUCAUGAUUUUUCCCAGGCAUAGAACUUGCCCAGGACUGAAUCAAUAAAUGUGAACUCUCUCUUUCUUAGUCUCUUUCUUUUUUUUCCUCUGUGACUCUCAAAUAAAUAAGAAAAUUAUAGUCUGUUGGAAACAUUUGAGGAGUGAGCCUACAGUUGGCAAACCUCUGUUUCAGUCUGUCUUUAUCUCUCAUUCUGUCUCUCUGAUUCUCAAGUAAGUAAAUAAGUAAAUGCUAAAAGAUGGUCAUGUGGCUUGCUGUGGCACAGUGAAUUAACACCCUAGCCUGAAGCAGCAGCAUCCCAUAUGGCCACCAGUUUGGGACCCAGUUGUUCCACUUCUGAUCCAGCUCUCAGCUAUGGUCUGGGAAAGCAGUAGAAGAUGUUCCAAGUCCUUGGACCCCUGCACCCAAGGGAGACCCAGAAGAAGCUCCUGGCUCCUGGCUUCAGAUCAGCACAGUUCUGGCCGUUGUGGCCAAUUGGGGAGUGAACCAUUGGAUCAAGACCUGACUCUCUCUUUGCCUCUCCUCUCUCUGUGUAACUCUGACUUUCAAAUAAAUAAAUAAAUAAGUCUUUAAAAAUAAAAGAUGGUCAUGAGUAAGCCUCUGUGCUGUGGCAUCAGAAAUUAUGAAGCUAGGAAUGACAUUGUGGUGCAGUGUGUUAAAGCUCCAGCCUGCAACACUAGCAUUGCAUAUUGGUGCCAGUUCAAGUCCCAGCUAGCCCUCUUCUAAUCCAGCUCUCUGCUAAUGCACCUGAGAAAAGAGCAGAGGUUGGCCCAAGUCUUUGGCCCCUGUCCCAUGUUGGAGACAAGAAAGACACUCCUGGCUCCUAACUUCAUUUUGGCCCAGCAUUGGUUGUUGUGCCCAUGUGGGGAGUGAACCAGCAGAUGGAAGACUUCUCUCUGUCUCUAUCUCUCUCUAUAAUUCUAGCUUUCAAAUAAAUAAAGUAAAUCUUUGAAAAAAAAGAAAUCAUAAACUAAGCAUGAACUUAUAUAAAACAUGAAAAUAUGUGAUCCUAGACUCACCAAAAAACUAAUGAGAUUUUGAGACCCAAGGUCAAGUAGCCUCGUGGGUUUAUGUUAAGUAGCUCAGAUUUCUUUAAGGGUGGAGUUUGAAGAGUGAUUUCUCUCUUAUUUUUCAGUAUCAUUGAAAAAUAAGCAAAUAAAAAGAUAAGAAAAGCAUAGAAAAUGAAGCUUUCAGUGAAAAUAGGAGGCAACUGAUCAAAAGCCUCCAGAAAUUCAAAUCAUCACAGGAAUUUUUCUAGAAAGAAUUGAGAGGAGGUAACCAGCACUGAUGAUUUCAGAAUGAGCUAGAAAACACUUUUCAAAGAAGAUAAGCACAUCCCGGUUUGCAGAAAUAAAUUCUUCAAACUGAUUGGGAGUGUUUAACUAAAGUGGUAUACUGGGAAUUUUCUGUACCUGUUGUACUUUUGAGAAGCUGAAGGUGUUGGGUGUCCUUAGGAAUUUUGGGAAGCUGUCAUAGAGUAGAGACAAAGUAGUUUUUCAUUCGAAAAAUCCCACAAAUGAUGUUUACCUAGGAAGACUGAGCACGAGACAGUCAUAGAUUCAAAUCAUACUCCUUAAAUGUUGUCCUGCUUAAAGUACAGGCACAUUUCACUCUUCUCCACCUGCAAGUAAAUGAUCAGUAAAACUUUCUCAUGUUUAUGGUUGAGAUAUCAGAGAAGCAAAAAGCACACAAUUUUUAUAAAAAUAAACUGGAGAAAAAGGACAGGGAAAAAAAUUGUUGCUAGGUAGUGGGUGAAUAUUUUUAUUAAACAUUUGUCCAUUCUUUAAAAUAUUUUAUAGUUAUUUCAUCUUUGUGAAAGGCAGAGUGAUAGUGAGAGAAGAGAGAGAGAAAGAGGUCCUCUAUUAGCUCACUUCCCAGAUGCCUGCAACACUUAGGUCUAACUAGUCUGAAGCCAAAACUCUAGAAUCCCUCUAGUUUUCCCUGGUUUCUCACAGGUUCCCAGGCACAUGAACCAUUAUCUGCUUCCUUCCAGUUUACAUAGGCAGAGAGCUGUACUGAAAGCAGAGUAGCCAGGGCUCAAACUGACACUGUUUUGAGAUGCAGGCAUCCCACACUUCAUAGCACAAAUGUCAUUCUACCAUCCUUGACAAAUUCCCAUAGUAAAAAGGAUCAUGUUUGAACAUUGGGAAACCUCAUGGUAUAUUAAUGUAUUAAGGAGAAAAACCAUAUAAUGGUUACAAAUAAGUACUUCAUACUGAUUUUGUCAAAAUCUUAUGCCACUUGGAUUACAAGUAACUUCAUUCCCUUUACAUGAGCAUGCCAGGAGAAACAGUUACAUGUGAUUCAGUGACAUGAUUGCUUUUUUCUCA
Oryctolagus cuniculus (rabbit) is the source of this 3724-nucleotide non-coding RNA. Lineage: Eukaryota; Metazoa; Chordata; Mammalia; Lagomorpha; Leporidae. The record is from RefSeq and is a predicted model, not a curated record.